Molecule: ribosomal RNA, 253 nt
Filed under: uncultured bacterium
Lineage: Bacteria
Description: partial 16S ribosomal RNA
Rfam family: Bacterial small subunit ribosomal RNA
Source: RNAcentral
UACAGAUGGUGCAAGCGUUAAUCGGAAUUACUGGGCGUAAAGCGCACGGAGGCGGUUUUUUAAGUCAGAUGUGAAAGCCCCGGGCUCAACCUGGGAAUUGCAUUUGAAACUGGGGAACUAGAGUGUGUGAGAGGGGGGUAGAAUUCCAAGUGUAGCGGUGAAAUGCGUAGAGAUUUGGAGGAAUACCAGUGGCGAAGGCGGCCCCCUGGCACAACACUGACGCUCAGGUGCGAAAGCGUGGGGAGCAAACAGG